RNAcentral lists this ribosomal RNA (253 nucleotides) under uncultured bacterium. RNAcentral's name for it is "partial 16S ribosomal RNA". It matches the Rfam family "Bacterial small subunit ribosomal RNA", at positions 524 to 776 of the family's 1533-position model. The record is from RNAcentral.
UACGUAGGGAGCAAGCGUUGUCCGGAAUCAUUGGGCGUAAAGCGCGCGUAGGUGGCCUCAUAAGUCCGCUGUGAAAGUCAAAGGCUCAACCUUUGAAAGCCGGUGGAUACUGUGAGGCUAGAGUACGGAAGAGGCGAGUGGAAUUCCUGGUGUAGCGGUGGAAUGCGCAGAUAUCAGGAGGAACACCAAUAGCGAAGGCAGCUCGCUGGGACGUUACUGACACUGAGGCACGAAAGCGUGGGGAGCGAACAGG